Pelobates cultripes (western spadefoot toad) is the source of this 266-nucleotide non-coding RNA. The record is from the annotation of a GenBank genome assembly. Lineage: Eukaryota; Metazoa; Chordata; Amphibia; Anura; Pelobatidae.
UAGAUUCUGGAUUCGCCCCUGCUCUGUAUGCUUAUAUCUGUGUGACUAUAUGACUGUGUAUUAUAUGUAUUUGUAUGCCUGUGUCUGUAUUUCUAUAUGCAGUGUCUGAAUGUCUCUGUAUGUCUGGUUUGUAUGACUGUGUAUGUAUGUCUUUGUAUGCCUGUGUUUGUAUGUCUAUAUGACAGUGUCUGAAUGCCUCUGCAGAAAUUGCAGCAAGAUUUGAUUUUGUUUGGGCAAAAUAAUCUUUUACCUAUUUGGGUAUAAAG